Molecule: ribosomal RNA, 253 nt
Filed under: uncultured bacterium
Lineage: Bacteria
Description: partial 16S ribosomal RNA
Rfam family: Bacterial small subunit ribosomal RNA
Source: RNAcentral
UACGUAGGGGGCUAGCGUUGUCCGGAUUUAUUGGGCGUAAAGAGCGUGUAGGCGGCCAGGUAGGUCUGCUGUGAAAACUCGAGGCUCAACCUCGAGACGUCGGCGGAAACCAUUUGGCUAGAGUCCGGAAGAGGAGAGUGGGAUUCCUGGUGUAGCGGUGAAAUGCGCAGAUAUCAGGAAGAACACCCGUGGCGAAGGCGGCUCUCUGGGACGGUACUGACGCUGAGACGCGAAAGCGUGGGGAGCGAACAGG